UUUUGAACAAGUUUUACUCAUUUGGUUCCACCAUAAAAUCCAACAUUAGGGUUUUACAAGUUUUCAAGAAACAACAGAGAAAACACUAGCGGAAGACUUCGUCGGGGUCGGACGUCCGGGCGAGGCCAGCCAGAACAUCACUGAAUCCUCUCCUCGCCGUCCGAGGAGGGGUCCCACUCGACCGUCCAGCCUGGCGGGAGCUGGGGCGGCCAAGCGCCAACAAGGGAGGGGUCGGGAACUGCAACUUCACCUGAAAAACAUGAGCCACAACAAGGCUGAGCUACUAAGCUCAACAAGACUUAACCGAGGAGGAGCCAACUACUCUUCCAACUAGACAUGCAAGGCUUCUUGGCUGAGGGGUUUGAUUUGCCAAAAGCACUAAGUAACCUAUUUUCAAGUUUUAGCUUCGGUUCUAUAUUUACUUACCAGUCUAGGUUGUGCAACCUAUUCUAAGCAAACAUCGAGCCAAACAGGUGUGUAGGUAAAAACAACAACAUUGCCAUUAUCAGAUUCCUCAUUUACUCAGGGUGACAUAGCGAUCAAGAAAUCUCAAACUGUGAGAGGCAGACGAAUCGAUUCGAGUUCUUUAACCAUGCAUGGUGAACCUAGCCCCACGACAUCCGCGCACCCGGAGGUCGCUUCCUGUGUCGGCCUUCCCCAUCAAUCCCCUAACCCGUGUCGGGCCCAUUUCCUUUGGUGCAAGGUUCCACAGACCCGGCCUCUGCCGUUCUGUGACCACGCUUUGCCAUCACGUGCGACAACCAGCAGGGGAAACUCCGUUCCAAGAACAAUGGGGCGACCGCUCACGUCUAGGUUCAAUCAGGUACUAGGUUUCCUCAUCCCAUACUAAGUAUGAGGCUAGUACUUUCAAACACUUGAUCACGAACACCACCACUGUCGGGCCUUAGCAAGUUUUCAUAGAUAGACGGGGCAACCAUCCGACCACCAAAGUGUUACCCAACCCUGCCCCGUCCACCGUCCUUAUAGUUGUAGCAGAUAGUAAACAUGCAACUCCUACAACUCGCGAGUGACGGGAGAUCACUCGGCUUUUACCGUCUCCUAUUUAAGCAAUGCAGUUACUCGGUCCAACAGCUAGUGCUCAUAUCAAGGGUUACUAAGUCAUGUAUCUAGGGUUUCACACAACUCCUAAACGUAAAUGCACAAUCAUGCUAUUCGGAAGGCAUGUGCAAGUUUGGCAAAAACACGUAGGAUUUUCAUGCAACCGGGGCUUGCCUGCAAACAAGGAAGGCUGGAACUGCUCGACUUCAGGGGCGGCUUCGACUUCCGCGGGCAGGAUCUCGGCUACAGCUUCUUCUUCGGGCAUCGGGUGCAGCUCGUAGAAGCCGUCAGCAAGAUGCAGCUCUACACGAAUGCAAUGCAAGGGUUAGUUUAAACGUUUUGAUUUGACAGCAACACUGGCUCUCCUGAGUCCAGAAACUUGCGACAAAGAGCAGGAGGUGGAGGCUGUUUGAGAGAGGUGAUGAUGAUCAACAGGUAAGGGUAGGAAGAGAACUAGUGGUCUGAUCCUUGAACUAGAGGAUGUGAUAACUGGGAUCCUCAGUCGUAGGCGCUGAAGGGUUCCCACGUUUUACACAUACACCCUCGAGUUAAAGAAAAAGAUCACAGCCAAACCCUCGGGCGAGGCGGACAAGGGUCGGCGAACAGACAGGGUCGGACGAGACGGAACUGGGGUCGGGCGGAUAGGAGGGGUCGGGCGAGGCGGACUUAGGGUCGGCACUCACCUUCUUCCUGGAAGGAAAGGUUGGGGUCGGGAAGAGGCAGACUUGGGCGCGGAACUAAAGCUUUGAGCAGGGACUAAGACCUGCGAUGCUCCGGCGGCGGUGCUUCUUGCGGAUCACAAGAGAGCUCUACGCACCACAGGGGAGCAAGCUGCGGGGUGACUUGGAGGAACUGAGAAGGAACUGGGAGAAGAACUUUUCAAGAACUGGGUGGGUGGCGCUAGGAGCUUGAGCAGGGACCUAGAGGAAACUAAGGGUAACAAAGGCGGAGAGAACUCCGGCGACGGGGGCAUUCCUUUUAUAGCUGCUGGAGCAGAGGAACGGAAACGUCGCGAAGAGAGAGGAGGGGGUGGCGUGAAGGCCGGGGAGAAGCAAUGGAGUGCUCUGCCGUGGCGGCGAUUGAGCAAACCGGGCGAUGCUGCAGAACUCCGGGGGUGACGCCAGCGAUCAUUGCGCUACUCCGUCAGGGCGGCGUAGGCGCGGGUAGACCGGUGGUUGGGAUUUGGCGGAGAGCGGGCGUCGUCGUGCGGGAGAGGUGAUAGAAGCGACCGGUUAAACGGCGCUAGGAUCGAGGGCGCACAGGUGAGAGAACAAGCGGACGCAGCGCAGGGGAGAGCGCGGAACAACAGAUUGUCGGGCGGCUUCUGACAGAGCGGGGAAAAGGAACUGUCGCGGCCGCGGUCGGGGUUGGCGGUGGGGGAAUCGUCGUAUAGCGACGACCGGGCGGCGCAACUGUUGCUGGAAAGGACGGAAAAGACGGGCGACAUCGGUCUCCGGGGCCGGGAUCUGGUAUCGUGAUGAUGGGCGCGGGGAACGAGGGUCUGCAGAAAGGGGUGCAGAGGGCUUCCGCUGCCAUUGGGGAAAAGGGCGCGGGAACCCACUUGGUCGCUUGCCAGAGACAAAACUGAGCGGUGGCGUCGGAGAAGACGAGCCACGCGGCAGGAAGGCUCUGAGGCGGCCAUGCAACUCGAGUGCGGCUGACGCGGGGGAUCUGGAAAAAGAUCUCACGGGUCCACCGGGGGAAAGAUCGGACGGGUGAGGAAGAUCAGCAGGAUCCGACGGAGGGUUGAACUCGCCAGGGUCGGGAAGGAACGAAGAGAUAGGGGUCGGAUCUCAGGGGUUGGGACUGGCGGAAGACUGAGCACCUAGGUGCGGUCAACAGAACAACCAACUGAGGUUAAGGGCUGAGAUCAAACCUAACCGGGAAAAGUUAGGGGUCGGUUGUUACAGCCUACCCCUCUUAAAAAGAAUCUCGUCCCGAGAUUCAAGAUCAAGGGUGUGUUGUUCUUACCUCCUUGAUGGGAUAGAAAACCUGGAAAACGCUUGUUCAGAUAUUCUUCCGUCUCCCAUGUUGCGUCAUAUUCGGUGUGGUUUCUCCAGAGGAUCUUGUACAUCUUUACCAUUUGGCGUCGGGUGUGCCUUUCCUUCUGGUCAAGAACUCGAUCUGGGUACUCGGUGUAGGUCAGGUCGGGUUCUACUUGAAGCUGUUCUUGUUCUAGGAUCUCUGCUGGAACUCGGACACAUUUCUUCAGCUGAGACACAUGGAAAACGUCAUGUAUGGCUGAUAGCUGUUCUGGGAGUUGGAUCCGGUAAGCAACAGGCCCACAUUUCUCCACAAUCUCGUAAGGGCCAACAUAGCGGGGAGCUAACUUGCCCUUUAUUCCAAACCGUUGCACUCCUUUGGUUGGGGAGACUCGAAGGUACACAUGAUCACCAAGUUUGAACUGCAGGGGUCUCCUCCGCUGGUCAGAGUAACUCUUCUGUCGAGAUUGGGCAGCCUUGAGAUUAGCUUGAAUUACCUUUACUUGCUCUUCGGCUUCUGCCACUAAGUCAGGGCCAUACACCUGUCUUUCUCCUGGUUGGGACCAGUUCAAGGGUGUUCGGCAUCUUCGGCCGUACAGGGCUUCAAACGGUGCCAUCUUCAAACUGGCCUGGUAGCUAUUAUUGUAGGAGAACUCUGCUAAGGGCAGGCACUUGUCCCAGUUUUUGUCAUAGUGAAUAACACAGGCUCUUAACAUGUCUUCAAGGAUCUGGUUGACUCUCUCGGUUUGGCCAUCGGUUUGGGGAUGAUAUGUUGAGCUUCGGAUGAGCCGGGUGCCCAUGGAUGUUUGUAAUUGCUCCCAAAAACGUGCCACAAACUGAACUCCUCUGUCUAAGACUAUAGUCUUGGGGACGCCAUGUAGGGAAACGAUACGGUCGAGGUACAACUCUGCAUAUUGCUUGACCGUGUAGGUGGUACGAACAGGAAAGAAAUGUGCUGUCUUGGUCAGACGGUCCACUAUAACCCAGAUAGAAUCAUACCGUUGAGUUGUAAGGGGUAACCCAACUAUGAAGUCCAUGCUGAUGUCUUCCCAUUUCCAAGAGGGAAUAGGUAGCGGCUGCAAGGUCCCUGCUACCUUCAAGUGACUAGCCUUGACACGUUGACAAGUGUCGCAUUCUGAAACAUAACGAGCUAUCUCCGGUUUCAUCCCACUCCACCAAAAGGUCUGACGGAGAUCGUGGUACAUCUUGUUACUGCCAGGGUGGAUUGAGAACUUGGAAAGAUGAGCUUCAUCUAGGAUCUGCCUCCUCAGCUCAGGGUCGGCGGGCACUACUAGUCGGUUUCCAUAGUACACACCUCCCUUUUGGUCCUGCCGGAAAAGUUUAUAUCCUUCGUCCUUUACCGAGACCUUACUGAUGAUCCGUUUCACUUCUUCAUCCUUAGCUUGUGCUGACCGAAUCCGGUCCUCCAAAACUGAGUCAAGGAUGAUGUGACCAAGGGUUCCAUGAGGAACAAUCUCCAGACUUAGUUUUCCCAUCUCGUGACACAGAGUGUUGGUGAAGGUGGUUGACAACAAGCAAUUGCAACGGGGUUUGCGACUGAGGGCAUCGGCCACCACAUUGGCCUUGCCAGGAUGAUAGUGCACUUCCAAGUCAUAAUCCUUUAUCAACUCCAGCCAUCUUCUCUGACGCAUGUUGAGAUCGGCUUGCGUGAAGAUGUACUUGAGGCUCUUGUGGUCGGUAUAGAUGUUGCAGUGAGCUCCCAUUAAGUAGUGCCUCCAUAUCUUCAAGGCAUGUAUCACUGCUGCCAACUCAAGGUCAUGGGUCGGGUAGUUCAGCUCAUGAGGUCGCAACGCACGUGAGGCAUAGGCAAUGACUCGGCUGUCUUGCAUAAGAACACAUCCGAGCCCAGUGCCAGAGGCGUCACAGUAUACGUCAUACGGCCUAGAGGGGUCGGGUUGGGCCAAAACUGGGGCGGUGGUUAACAAGUGCUUCAGGGUUUUGAAAGCUUCUUCGCACUUGGUGUCCCACACAAACUUGAACUCUUUCUUUAACAACUCGGUCAUCGGCUUAGCUAUCUUGGAGAAAUCCGGUAUAAAACACCGAUAGUAACCUGCCAGUCCGAGGAAACUCCGGAUCUGGUGUACCGAGACAGGAGACUUCCAUUUCAUGACCUCUUGCACCUUACUGGGAUCCACGGCAAUACCGUCCUUGGAGAUAGUGUGUCCCAAAAACAUGACACUAUCCAACCAAAACUCACACUUGGAGAACUUUGCAUAAAGCUGGUGAUCUCUCAGUCGCUGGAGAACUAUAUGAAGAUGGUUGGCAUGCUCUUCCUUGUCCUUUGAGUACACUAGGAUAUCAUCAAUGAACACCACUACAAACUUGUUCAGCUCAGGCAUAAACACCGAGUUCAUGAGGUACAUGAAGUAAGCGGGUGCAUUGGUGAGUCCAAAGGACAUGACUAGGUACUCAUACAGUCCAUAUCUGGUAGAGAAAGCUGUCUUGGGUACGUCGCAAGGUCGAAUCUUGAUUUGGUGAUAACCAGAACGAAGAUCGAUCUUGGAGAACACUUUUGCUCCGGCUAACUGGUCGAACAAGACAUCAAUGCGGGGCAGUGGGUACUUAUUCUUGACUGUUACCGCAUUGAGGGAUCGGUAAUCCACACACAUCCGUAAACUGCCGUCUUUCUUCUUCACAAACAGGGUGGGGCAACCCCAAGAUGACGUACUGGGUCGAAUGAAGCCCUUUUCCAACAGAUCAUGCAACUGGGUCUUCAACACUGCUAACUCAGCGGGUGGCAUCCGAUAGGGUCUCUUAGAUAUCGGGGCUGUGCCAGGAACCAACUCUAUAGAAAACUCCACCUCUCUGUCAGGUGGCAUGCCUGGCAAGUCUUCUGGAAACACAUCUGGAUACUCACAGAUGACAGGGAGGUCUUCUAAACGGGUUCCCGAGAGAGAAAAGGCACAAGGAGUCAAAGACUCAGGAUGGGUCAAGGAUAGGGUAGCACUGCCAUGAGAGGGCGAGCGGAGGAAAAGAGAUCGGGCCGAGGUAUCUAAAACAACACGAUGUCGGGCCAUCCAAUCCAUGCCAAGGAUGACGUCUAGGCCUUCAAGGUCAAGGAUGAUAAGGUUUUCCUUGAAGAGGGUGGGGCCUAGCUGGAGAGGUACAAGAAUAACGACCUGAUCCGACGUUAUCCUUCCUCCAGGAGUGGCGAUCACAUAGGGUUCCUUAGUGUGACCCACACUUAGCCCACACCUUUCCCUUGCCUUACUCCCGAUAAAGCUAUGAGAGGCUCCCGAAUCAAACAACACCACAACAGCUUGAUUUAAAACAAGAAAAGUACCCGUCAUCACUGACGCACCUUCGGGAAGUUCGGUCAAGCUGGUGUAGUUGAGUCGGCCUUGUCGGACUUGCACCUUGGGCCUUCUUCCUCUGGCUGCCAUGGGGUUCUGGCCUUGUUGCUGAGUCUUGCUCCUGGGGCAGUCCCUUGCAAAAUGUCCCUCAUUGCCGCAGGUAAAACAUCUGUUACUGGUUGCCGGACGAGGUGGCGUUGGCAAGGUCGGUCGGGGUACUUGCGGUUGGGGACCUGGGAAACUGGGCAUUGUUGCCGGCGGGGGUCGGGCGAUCCAUUUCCCUGACUGUUGGGGUCGGCCAGGGGCUUGUGGAGGGAUCAUCCGAAACCUUCGGGCUGGCGGGCUCGGAAGAGCCACAGAGGCUUUCCUCUUCUGGUCGGCCUUGAGAGCUUGCAUGCAAUCCUCCUGGGAGAUGGCCAGAUUGACCAACUCGUUAUAGGUGUCCACCCGGAUGGGGUUCAGCCUUUCCCUGAGCUCCAAGCUCAGUCCUCGGCGGAAUCAGUCCCGCUUCUUCUCAUCGGUGUCCGCGUGAUAUCCCGCAUAACGGCAUAGGUCAUUGAACGCCUGGGCGUAGUGCAGCACAUCCCGAGUUCCCUGGGUGAGGGCCAGAAACUCGUUGAGCUUCCGCUCCAGGAGACCUUCAGGAAUGUGAUGCGCCUUGAACGCCGUCUUAAACUCGUUCCAACUGACCACGUGGCCAGCAGGUAGCAUGGCAUGGUAGUGGUCCCACCAAAGCCGUGCGGAACCACGCAGCUGCUGAGCUGCGAACCGCGCCUUGUUGUUGUCAGGGCAUGGAGCGGUAAGGAGCUCGAACUUGGAUUCGAUCGUACGAACCCAUGCAUCAGCGUCGAGCGGUUCUUGGGUCUUUUGGAACAGCGGGGGCUGCGUCCCCCGAAAGUCCUCAUAUCUUGCGAUAUGCUGCUGCGGCUGUGCUCUACCACCAUGUGGCUGCUGUUGUCCUUGCACCAGAUGCCUGAGCAGCUCGGUUUGAGUUGCUAGGAUUGCCUCCAAUGGCGAUGGUGGCGGGGGCGGGGGAAGAUCCUGGCGCUGGUCACUGCCGCUGGGCAUAGUUCCAGACCUCGUGCGGUGCGCCAUCUGCAAGAGUUAACGCCCCAUCAAUCUCAUAACCUUAGGUGUACUCCAACGAAUGGGAACGUAUGAAUUAAGUCCUUUAAUGCGACUCUUGCCAAAGGUGCAUCACACGUCCUCAUAGAGGAAGCGCAUUCCUCCCUUUUUCAUCAUAGAUAGCCCUUACUUGCCCUCGUACUCCACCUUAGGCACUCACACCACAUACAGACUCCUAGGGUCUCAUCCACUCGAACCAAGGGGUCGGAUACGGUCCGUACUCAAAGAGGGUCGGACAAGGCGGUAACUGCCUUAAGGGUCGACGCACUCUAGCUCGCAAACUAGGGUCGGCCAACUGAACAGGCUCCCCAAAAACAACACAGGUUCCGGCACUACUCACUCAACCUUAGCAUCCACACCAUACGAAAAGGAUAAAACUAUGCACUGGGUUGACUUUAUACACAGCGACGUUUCAACACAGGGAGUACUCAACUCAAGGCUAACCUAUUACAACUUUCCAAAACUAGGCUGCCGAGGAGUACAACAAAAGAAAGAAGGUUCCCUGAGAACCCUUAAGCUACCACUGGACACUAUGAGUCGGAGAAGGGGCGCCAUCUUCUUCUAUGUCCAUGUUGGACGCUCCCUCGUCUUCCUCAGGGUCCUCCUGAGCUUCAAGCUGCAUGUUGAGGGCAUGCAUAUCUUCAAGCUCAGCUUGGUGCUCCUCUAGGUGGGCAUUAGCAACGGCCAACUCCAUUUCCACCUCCAUUUUCUCCUCCGAGAGCUCGAUCAUGCCGUCCACGAGGUCGGCAACUUCUCCUUCCAGCUCGGAGAUCCGGUCUUGCAUGUCGUGGAUCUGGAUUCCACGUUGGAUCAGCUGGUAGGUUUGGCCUACCAGGUCUCUUCUAGCUGCCUGGAGGUACCCGUGGGUGUCUGCAGCCGUCCGGGCAAAGAGAGUCAUGGCUCUUCCUUGGAGCUCUAUCAGCCGGUAGAAGGCAGCCAUGCAACGGACGUUGGUGGAGAUGGUGAUCGUAGCACAGGUAGCGGCCAACACCUCGAGGUUUCCGAUGCGGUCCAGCCAGGCCGGGUCCAACCGACUCCUGACGGGAAAAAGACCGAUCGGGUCCAGGGUGAUCUCCACAGGGUGGAACUGACAGAACUGCGUGAGCAACUGGAGAGCGGCGGAUUCCCACGUAUCUUCCGGAGAAAGACCGUAGGCUAUGAUGCCCAGAGAGGGCCAGUCGGGCCGCGAGAAAGGGCGUGGCACCAGUGCUUGCACCUGGCACGUCUGGAUGCCCUGCUCCACAUACAGCCGCCCCGAAUACAGGGGUGGGGACUGAUACCCAAACCAUCUCAACGUAUCCCACAAGAUCGCGGGAAACCCCUCGAAAUGUAGGCAUGUUGAUUGGAAGGUACCGUCCGCUCCAAACACCACAUGCCCGGGAGCAGCCAUCUGGAACCAAGAAAACCGAAGCCACGUGAGAUAACUCCGAGGAUCAGGGAUCGGAUAGAGAAGCAGAAGGGCUUAACCGAGAGCAACUAAGAGGAGCUAGAAAUCCCUAGAUCCAAAAGAACUCUGUCGGACAGGGUUGCUGUUGAGAAGAGAACAUUACAGAUUUUUGUAUGACGCAUGCACGGCCUACCGUACUCUUAACCAAAAACAACUGCCCGAACCUUGGGUCUUACGCGGUCAGCGCCGGUGACGAGGCAACAAUACGUCUCUCCCUAUAUUAACUAGUCGGUUCUAGCAACGUCUUAACGAACGCGGUUAGCAACCUGCAGAAAACACACACACGAACCUUUCGUGCCAGCACCCACGAAAGCGCUCCCAAACAUUACCGUUCACUAUAGGAACGGCACCCAUGCGUUUAAGGCUGCAUGGACAGCACUCAACCGUGGAAAUAGGUUCCUUCCGAAUAGAACCACAUAACCCUUCGCAUACUCGUGAUGCGGCAUCGGCACACGUAUGAUAGACGUGGCGAAACAACCGUGCCAAUAGGUUCGUUGGAAUCGAACCAUAUCAACCUUCGUAUGGAUCACAUACGGAACCUGCGCACGUAUAAUAGAUGUGGACGAAAACAACCGCGAAGAUAGGGUCCCUUGAAUGGAACUCCCUAUCAACCCUCGCAUGCUCGUGAUGCGGAACUCGGCACACGUAUGACAGACGUGGCGAAGUGCUGGAGGAGUUAGCAACAUAACCAGAUACUUAUUUAGUCACCUAAAACAACCCCAAAAUCCCCUAGGGCCUCUCGCACUAAAUCAUCCUUAACGUUUGUACGAGAUUUUCGAAAGGUUCUUGCAACUUUUAUAUUUUCAAAGAAGUGUUUAGGGCUCAUUGGGUUCUCUGAUAUGCUGAACUCGGCUCUGAUACCAGCUGUGGCGGAACCACCUCGGAUUAGCUUGAUUAAGCAGGGUUAAGCCGCCUAACAUGCGACACCACUGCCUAAACCGAGUUAAUACGAAGUGCCGUCAAAUUUUGCCCGAUUUAACCACUUAAAUAGGAUCGAGUUCAGCAACCCACAUGAAGGUGAGCGGUUACAGAGAAUACAACGAGUCCACGGAUUUUUGAACAAGUUUUACUCAUUUGGUUCCACCAUAAAAUCCAACAUUAGGGUUUUACAAGUUUUCAAGAAACAAUAGAGAAAACACUAGCGGAAGACUUCGUCGGGGUCGGACGUCCGGGCGAGGCCAGCUAGAACAUCACUGAAUCCUCUCCUCGCCGUCCGAGGAGGGGUCCCACUCGACCGUCCAGCCUGGCGGGAGCUGGGGCGGCCAAGCGCCAACAAGGGAGGGGUCGGGAACUGCAACUUCACCUGAAAAACAGGAGCCACAACAAGGCUGAGCUACUAAGCUCAACAAGACUUAACCGAGGAGGAGCCAACUACUCUUCCAACUAGACAUGCAAGGCUUCUUGGCUGAGGGGUUUGAUUUGCCAAAAGCACUAAGUAACCUGUUUUCAAGUUUUAGCUCCGGUUCUAUAUUUACUUACCAGUCUAGGUUGUGCAACCUAUUCUAAGCAAACAUCGAGCCAAACAGGUGUGUAGGUAAAAACAACAACAUUGCCAUUAUCAGAUUCCUCAUUUACUCAGGGUGACAUAGCGAUCAAGAAAUCUCAAACUGUGAGAGGCAGACGAAUCGAUUCGAGUUCUUUAACCAUGCAUGGUGAACCUAGCCCCACGACAUCCGCGCACCCGGAGGUCGCUUCCUGUGUCGGCCUUCCCCAUCAAUCCCCUAACCCGUGUCGGGCCCAUUUCCUUUGGUGCAAGGUUCCACAGACCCGGCCUCUGCCGUUCUGUGACCACGCUUUGCCACCACGUGCGACAACCAGCAGGAGAAACUCCGUUCCAAGAACAAUGGGGCGACCGCUCACGUCUAGGUUCAAUCAGGUACUAGGCUUCCUCAUCCCAUACUAAGUAUGAGGCUAGUACUUUCAAACACUUGAUCACGAACACCACCACUGUCGGGCCUUAGCAAGUUUUCAUAGACAGACGGGGCAACCAUCCGACCACCAAAGUGUUACCCAACCCUGCCCCGUCCACCGUCCUUAUAGUUGUAGCAGAUAGUAAACAUGCAACUCCUACAACUCGCGAGUGACGGGAGAUCACUCGGCUUUU
Molecule: long non-coding RNA, 11031 nt
Filed under: Setaria viridis
Lineage: Eukaryota; Viridiplantae; Streptophyta; Magnoliopsida; Poales; Poaceae
Description: long non-coding RNA (SVIR_LNC000200)
Source: RNAcentral